This 1308-nucleotide long non-coding RNA is filed under the name Vitis vinifera (wine grape). RNAcentral's name for it is "long non-coding RNA (VVIN_LNC002093)". The record is from RNAcentral. Lineage: Eukaryota; Viridiplantae; Streptophyta; Magnoliopsida; Vitales; Vitaceae.
UUGAAGGGGAUCAUGAUAAGAACCAUUUCGGCAUGGGUGAUGAUGAACAGAAGUUGGAUCAUGUUCUUGUUGAUGAAAGGUGAAGCUUAGGGCAGCAGCAGAUGGAAAUGAUUGCUGAGGUGGCGGAGGUGUUUCGCCGCCGGCGUCGUUUGAGGACAGCUGAGUUAUAGACAUGGCGCGCACAGUCCUGAUCACGUCAUUAACAUUAAAGACAUGCCUUGGUCCAUCGUUCCGAAAAUAUAACUCCACAGCUUUUUCAGGCAUAGUGGGCUUGAACUUCAACAGCUUAGCAUAUUCGUUUAAAAGAUGAAACAUGUAGUUUGUCCAUCUUCAAGUCCUCUUAGAUAAAAUCACUGGCUGCCUUCCCCAUGGACCGUGCCUUCUGCUUAUGGCGGUUGCCCCAGUCAACAGCAAACUUAAUUGACCUGCACUUGUCAUCCUCCCUUAUGGACCAAUAGCAGUGCACCGGCAUCAAACUCUUAAUGAAUGCAUUGGCUUGGGCUUGGUUGUGGCAUGAUUGAUCCUGUUGGCUGCUUGCUAUUGAGCUCAUUUGGCACCCUGAGAGCCAUAUGCAUCUCGUCCACUGGGAACCAUGAAUCUAUGAUGGCGAGCCGAAAUACAUAGCCAUCUCUCCUCGAGCCCAGAUCAGAAUAUGCACAGCCAAAUCAUUCGGAAUAAACCCAGAAUUGUGAGCCAUAAAAGGGAUAUGGAUUGGGGUGCUAGAAGUAAAGAAGUAUGAAAAAAGAAAGAAUGGGAUAUAACGUGCUCAGAACAGAGCAAAACAGAGUGAGCAAAGCAUAAGUGGGAUCCCCUUUCAUAUUCAGAUCCAAGGGUUCUGGCCAGUGGUGCAUCAGGAGAGUUUAAAAUAAAUACCAUAAGGGGAAUGAGCCAUAUCCAAAUAAGCAAAAAUACAGAGGAAAGUAAUACAACAUCACACUUAUACCCGAACAACCAACCAAGGAUCAGAAAGGAAAACAGAGACAGCAAGAGAAAAUGUAAGAUAGAAAGAAAACAGAGUGAGUGAGAAUAGUCCAAGAGAUUACCACCAAUGUACCUGGAGAUGCUCUUUCAAAGUUCUUGAGUUGUUCCUCCUCUCGCCUCUUCAACUCUAUCUUUCUCCUUCACUCUCGGCUCCUCCUUUCCUUAAGUUGUCCACCACUCUCAAGCAAACAUACUCCCUCCGGUUACCUUUCUCUCAUCCUCUGAUUUUUCUCUGGAAAACUCUAACUCUCUGGUUCUUCUCUCCCUCUUCUUUCUCCCCCAGACUCUGAAUAUCCAGCUUGCCCCUCCAGAAUCUCCCAAAACUCA